Tympanuchus pallidicinctus (lesser prairie-chicken) is the source of this 4495-nucleotide long non-coding RNA. RefSeq lists it as uncharacterized. The transcript has 2 exons. NCBI's taxonomy places the organism in Eukaryota, Metazoa, Chordata, Aves, Galliformes, Phasianidae. The record is from RefSeq and is a predicted model, not a curated record.
UUAAACUGGAUCACCAGUGCCCACACAUCAAGGUCCACAGACAUCUGAGCAGCUGGAUUUCCUUUUCUUUUAAAUUGAAAAGUGAUCAGAAAUUUGUGUGGCCUGGCAAUUUCCUGACUCCAAACCGUUUUGUCCGUGACAGCUAUCUACAAAGUGUGUUUUAAUUAACUGCAUACAAAACACUAUCCUACAUGACUAUUUCUGCUUCUGCAGGAACAGUUUGUACCAACUAUUUGCAAAUCUCUUAUCUAUGUACAGUUUGAUCUCCUCUGCAGCAGAAUGGUGUGAAAAGCUCAAGGACGCUCCGCCCCGGAUGUUCAUCAAUCAAUACACACACAUUGAGGUGUUCAGGGGAGAUGUGAUACAGAGGAGCUACCUGGGAUAAUCCCUAGAACAGACCAAAAUUCUCAUGCAGAGAGCUCCUGUGUACCAAGCACUUAAUUACCAUGAUGGGAAGGAGUUCAUACCUGCUUUCAGAGCAGACUGUUUCCUCAGACCAGCUCUAAUGUCUUCUGAUGACAAGCUGGGGAAUUCCUGAUCCACAAGGGAACUGAUGACAGGUGCAGUGUGUGUGCAGAGGCACAGCCCUGAUACCCAGCUACACCACAGUUAUAGCUAUGGGACAGACUUGAGAUUUGUACUUAGAAGUCUGACAUCUCCUACUACACUAAGAUACUGUCCUAGCCUUCAGAAUUUUGGUGUCUCUGGUUUUGGAUUACUGACUGAAAACCUUUACUCAAAUCAAUUCUUGAUUUUAAACUUCCCAGGAAAAAUUGUGAUACUGUCCCGAAGAAUCUUUUAUUGAUUCAAACGUAUGACUUUUCUCAACCAUUUUAAGAGGAUCACUGGCCUCACACAUUUGUCCAAAUACCAGCUUGUAAUGAGUUAAUUGGGUGUAAACUGCUAUGACAUCCAUGUCAUUAUCUUUAAACUUUUCUUCAUUUUGCUAUUUACUAUCAAUGGGUUUUACUGUCUGCACAUCAUCAUGCACCGAAGCACAAGUAUGUAAUCAGAGCAGUUUGGUCUAAUAGAGGAAACAUAAUGGCCUCUACUGAACUUCUUGGGAUUAUACUGGGCUGAUCUCUUCUGUAAAGGCACAUGGAAUCGUGGCUCUGUUUCCGCUGCUCUCCAGGUCCUCAGAGACAGUCUUUCUGAAGCGCCAUUUUCCCCCAUCCCCAGGAAUUGUGCCACCUGUCCUAGACCUGCCAUGUGGGACACGCAGCUGCUGUGGUCCUCUGAGAUCGUCUAGGUUGCAGUGUUCAGCACCACUGUUCAAGUACAGACUUGGAGAAAGCCAGUAAAUUUGUCAAGAACUGCUCCAGGGAAAUGUUUCUGUUACAAACACUGCAGUCAUACAAUCUCUCUUUUUCUCAAUAAGAAGAAAAAACUGCCCCAGGGCUAGAUCUCCAAGAUACUACCCACAGGCUGUUUUGGUUGUGUUUUUAUUUGGAAAAGAAAAGCAACCACUAUCAGCAACCCUUGCAGCAAAGCUGAAGCAGCCCAAACAUUUCCUUGAAGCGUGUCUUCUCAGUCAUUCCAAUUAGCAGUUGCUAUAAUAUGACAUUGUGACUGGUUCUCAAGUUGAGGAGGAAAAGGGGUGCUGAGAAAUGGGUUUUGAAAUAGUAAGAGGGAAGUUAUUUGAUAACAGCCUGAGGUCACGACACGCUGCAUCUGGGGAUUUCACUUCAGGUUUAGGUUUCUUGGGAGGAAGAACUGUAACUCUGCCUGUGUGUAUUCUGAAUACCACCCGCUGAUGGAGGCUGCCCUCCCAGCUGGGCAACCCUGAAAUACCAAUGAAUAAAUGAUAAUCAUCUCCAGUUUAAUGUCUGUCUGUGGGAAUGGAACACAGCACUGUUUAAUUUUGACCAGCAAUAACCCUGAGCAAAUUAGUAACAUCUGGUCUCCACUCAGAGCUUUCUUGACCAACAGAAAAUAAAAUAGAGAAGUUUCAUAAAGCAACGUCAAUCCCCAGAACUGUCAGAGUCACGCUGUGUGUCCUUCUCUUCAGCAGUGCCCCCAGGACCGUGCCCACUGUGACACAAGAGUGACAAGGCCUGGAUCCCAGGCCUCAAGUGUUCUUGCCCACAGCUUUGGGUUUCCAGCAAAAACAGAACACAAACUUUGUCAUGCUAUUAAGUUAUAUUCAUCCUCGCUAACCUCUUGUGAUGAAUGGCUCCAUCUGAGUGUAGUGCUGCCAGCCUCUUUACAUCCCCACGAAAUACGAUUACAAUAUAUCUUACGGACCUGACAGGGAGAAGAGCUACAGCCUUUUUAUGCAGGAAAAACUCCCCGAGGAAAUGGGAUGAAAUGGAACAACCUCAGAACUUACUGCAGGAAAAAGCAUUUCAGGCAGCCCAGUGGGGCCCAGGGACCCAAGCAAACAAAGGACUUUGUUUUCUGUUACAGGGCUGUCCGUGCUGAGGGGUGACAAGCUCCUGGAAUAAAACUAGAGCUGGAACAAUGGAAUGGCAUGGAAGAAACCAGUUCCUAAAUGUUUUCAAAUACAACAGUGUCCUCUCCCUUUCUCAGGCUUACAAUCAAACAGGGACCUGGGCCAAUCUGUACUGCAGUGGCCCAGAAGUGGUGGUGGCAGUGUUCUGCUGGAACUUGAGCUUAUGGUCAGCAGCCCAAAGAACAUGGGGCCCAGCAUGGGCUGGCCUGCCCUGAUGGCAGCAGUACAUGGAGGGCUGGGAGGGAGCUGCCAGGCACUGUGCUGGCUCUGGGGCGUUCCAUGGCUUUUUAUCAGGUGCCAGUGUGUGCUGCCAGCUGUCAAAUGGAGGCAUCUCUUUUCAACACUGCCUUGCACAAGAGCAGGCCCCAGGCUUGCUUCCUGACUCUCCCCAAUAUGCAGUCUGCCAGGUAAGGCAGCUCCUCCCAUCACAAGGCCACAGCGGGCUGUGAGCUGACAUCCUCCUUCCCCACGUGCUCUUCUGUCUGGCAGUGCUGACUGAACCCAUGGCCAUGGGCCUCCUCACCCCUCACAGCAUCCUGUGUAAAGAAGUGCUGAGAGGGUGAGGCCACAGUAUGUUCCCAAAGGAGCAUGGAGAAAGGCAUCUUUGGGAGGAGGGAAAUGUACUCCCAGCUUUGCAGUGCUGUUUAGACAGAGCAGGCUAUGUAUGCUCAGAGAGGCAAAGAUAAACUUAUUGUUGCUGAACAAAUAUUAUGUAAACAGGGAUUUUGCCAUCUGUGCUCCAAUAUUAGAUUUCCAGUACUAUUUACAUGUAGACAGACAAUUUUUAAGUGAGAAUUAAUAUUUGCCCCCAGGUGAAAUGUGGGGGAAAAAUAAAAGUCAAUUCUAAUUGAAUCCCAUUUCUGCAUUGGAAUUGCUCUUAAAGCCCAGGCAUACAGCAUAGCCACAGCAGGGAUGUGAGUGCCUCCUGCUAUUCCAGACACACUAUGAUGAGCUCAGCAGGCCAGCAGGAACCCAGCUGGCUUCCAUUACACCUCCUUGGCGAUGCCCUUUUACAGCCCGCUGUCUCAGAGACUUUGUGAACUUUCCAUUCAGCAUUUUCCUGUUUCAUUGACCUAUACCUUAAAGUCAGACUUAAUCCUGACAAGGCUGGAAGUCAGGAUCUGUUGAGAUCUGCCUGAACCUGGCAGGCUGAUUCCUGGGACUGAGAGCAAGGAGGGAACAGAUGCAAAACCCAAGGUGAGCAGCGUUGAUGUUUUGACUGAUCAUAGAAUCGUGGAAUCUUGAAUAUCUACACAGAGAGAGACUCCACAACCUGUUCCAGUGCUCUAUCACUCUGACCGUGAAUAAGUUCUUCAUUGUGUUAAUAUGGAACUUUCCAUGUUCCAGUUUCUGCUCACUGUCCCUUCUUGUACUGUUGCCUACCACUGAAAAGAGUGCUUUCAUCAGCUUGACUCCUUCACUUUAGAUGUAUAUAAACAAUGAUGAGACCCUCUCUCCACCUUCUCUACUCCUAGCUGAAUAGCUUCAGAUCUCUCAGUCCUUCUGUGCAUGGGAGAUGCUCCAGGCCCUCAAUUAUCUUUGUUGCCCUCCUUUGGACUCCUUCUUGGAUAUCUGUUUUCUUUUUUUGUCAAGGAAGCACACAGUACUCCAGAUGUGGCCUCACCAGGGCAGAGUAGAAGAGGAAGAUUACCUCUCCCAGCCUGCUGCACAUGUUCAUUUUAAUGCAUGCCAUGAUACCACUGGCCUUCUUGGCCUCAAGGGUUAUGGAUAAUCCAGGGUUAUGGACAACCUGUUGUCCACCAGGUCUUUCUCUGCAGAGGCCCUCUCAACUAGGUCAUCCUCUAACCUGUACUGAUGCAUGCAGUUAUUCCUUCUCAGGUGCAAGACUCUACACUUUCUCUUGUGUCAUCAGUGUCUUCUCUGUCCAACUCUCCAGCCUGUUCAGGUCUUGCUGAAUGGCAGCACAGCCUUCUGCUGUGUCAGCCAUUUCUUACAGCUUAGUAUCACCAGCAAACUUGAUGAGGGUAGACUUUGCUAAUGUUGAGGCUACAUUUACGUUAAGAAAUAAAAAUAUAUUCUCUG